Molecule: long non-coding RNA, 375 nt
Organism: Myzus persicae (green peach aphid)
Lineage: Eukaryota; Metazoa; Arthropoda; Insecta; Hemiptera; Aphididae
Exons: 2
Source: RefSeq, a predicted model, not a curated record
UAACGCUCGCCGCCGGCCGUCCCACACCGGGCAGUCUUCCUCUCCACUCCGCCUGCAGUGUGAAUAAUACAAUAAUAUAGGACACCAAGUUAUAACCCGUAGAGAGCGUCGAAACGUAAUUUUCACGGCUCCGGACUAUAUGCAACAUGUCACGCAUGGUUAUAUGUUCGGCAGUAUCAUCGAAAAGCGUACAGAAGAAAUUAUUACUAAGCUAAUAUCAUUAUAAUUUAUUAUUAUUUCUGUAUUAUUUAGUUCAUCACACGUUACCUUUAGUCAAAUGUAAUUAAUAUAAUAUAGUGUCGCACCAAUGGUUGUGUAACAAAAACAGCAAUACAAUACUAUUACAGUGGAAUAAAAAAAGGUUUUAUAGAGUAA